UUUUCCUACGGGACGCAGCAGUGGGGAAUAUUGAGCAAUGGGCGCAAGCCUGACCCAGCAACGCCGCGUGAAGGAAGAAGGCUUUCGGGUUGUAAACUUCUUUUAUUGAGGACGAAACAAAUGAUGGUACUCAAUGAAUAAGCCACGGCUAACUACGUGCCAGCAGCCGCGGUAAUACGUAGGUGGCAAGCGUUAUCCGGAUUUACUGGGUGUAAAGGGUGUGUAGGCGGGACUGCAAGUCAGAUGUGAAACCCAUUGGCUC
Molecule: ribosomal RNA, 262 nt
Filed under: uncultured bacterium
Lineage: Bacteria
Description: partial 16S ribosomal RNA
Rfam family: Bacterial small subunit ribosomal RNA
Source: RNAcentral